Molecule: unclassified non-coding RNA, 153 nt
Filed under: uncultured Sarea
Lineage: Eukaryota; Fungi; Ascomycota; Lecanoromycetes; Pertusariales; Pertusariaceae
Description: sequence contains ITS2
Source: RNAcentral
CACCACUCAAGCUCUGCUUGGUAUUGGGCCCUCGUCCUCCCGGGGACGUGCCCGAAAAUCAGUGGCGUCGCCGCCUGACUUCAAGCGCAGUAAUUCUUCUCGCUUUGGAAGGAAGGGCCGGUCGACCGCCAGACAAACCCAUUAUUUUUCUAU